RNAcentral lists this long non-coding RNA (14451 nucleotides) under Nicotiana benthamiana. RNAcentral describes it as "long non-coding RNA (NBEN_LNC038222)". The record is from RNAcentral. Lineage: Eukaryota; Viridiplantae; Streptophyta; Magnoliopsida; Solanales; Solanaceae.
CCGAUUCGUUUCCACCGUAGCAACCUUAAACGACUCUGCUUAGCAACAGGUGAAUCCUACCCCUUGAUUUUAUUUCAAUCAAACAAGCCAAGAACUCCCUCUCUCUUUGCAUAAUAAUUUCCGAACUCGGAGAUCCCUUCAGUUCCUCCAAACACCCUUAUACCUUUCAUCUCCCUAUCUAAGCUUUAGUCUGUUGUGGUUACGAUGUUCCAGCUCCAAAUCACUCCAAAUCCUCACCAUAUACUCCUCAUACCCCCCUGAGCAUUAAACUUCCAUUAGUUGCCACAAAAUCCUCACCUAUUCUCGUUGAUUUCAGAUCUGAGUGUGAAGCAAAAGUCCUAGGUUUCCCAACCCAAUUCGGUCUCUUGAUGUUCAUCCCCAAUUGGAGUCGGGAAUUGCGUUAAAUAAUUGUUCUGGCCAAGAACAAUUGAUUAAUGUUAGUUUUGAAUUUGUUCCGAGAGUUGCCAGUUUCCAACCAAGGCGCCUUAAUUUGUUUGAAGCUCGUUGCUUGCCUUGCUCGGCGAGUUGUUUCAGUUCGUCGAUUCAAGCCCGGUCAAAUUGGAACUCCCCUCUCUUUUCUUUCAAUUCUGGUUUUAUUUUUUCACCUUUGUUGCUUCGUUCCACUUCCUUUUCUCUUUGUUUAUGUGGAAUAGUUCCAGUUGUUUAGGGUCAUUGAGUCAUUUGGCUAAUGACAUAGAUUUAGGGUUAACUAUUAAAAGCAUUUAUGUUUGGAUUACCCCUAUGUUGGUUGUUAUUUUAUAAAUUGAAUUUGUUUGAUGUUUUGGGUUGUUUUUGUUUAGUUUGGGUCCUGUGAUUAUGGGCUAGGCAGCCCAAACCCAAGUUUAUUGCUCAGCGUAAACAUGAGUAUCCAGGGAGGUUAAAAAUAGAGGCUUUUGGGGGUAGUUUAAGAAAUGGAAAAAGGGUAAUCUUUUGGUGACAAUUUAAGAAGCUUCUAAAAAGCUGAAAGUAGGCUAGCUUGGUUAACAAGCAAGAAAUUGGGGGACACCUAAGAUAAGAUAAGAAUUAGAAAGGGACUAGAAUUGAAAAAUUAUCUCAUGGUUGCCUUAUUUCUUCCUAUAAAGGCAUCUCAAUCUUUCCUUGCAAGGGGAACCUAAGAUAGACCUAAUAGAGAAAACUGAGAUGAUACCAAACGGCUAAAAAUUUUCAGGAAAUUUCACUGUUCGAUUAGUUUUUGGUGUUUUUUUAAGGUUCUUCUUUUUUGGAGCCAUUUUGAUGCACAUCCUAUUGAUGUUGGUUCAAUUUGGGGUUUUUGAAUGCUGGAUAUGAGCUGAAUUUGGGGUUAGAGUCUAGAUUUCUAGUUUUCUUAGUUCCUCCUAUUUAUUUUAAAUUCCUGAAAAUCACAAGCAGUCAUCCGGUUGAAGAUGGUCUGAUUUUGGGUCUUAAAUUGAUUUUUCGACAUAUGAGAGGCUAUUGUUCUAUUGAUGCAAUUGAUAUUGUUCCGCUGCUGCUGACUCCUCCUCCAUCUUACUUUCUUUGCUGUUGCCAGGUACAUAUCCUUGAUUUAAGUAUCUAAACAGAUCAUGGGAUGAUUUAUUGAAAAGAAAUGAAGAUUAUACUUUCCCAUUUAGCUUUUUUCUUAGCUUGUGGUAUCAAUUAUUUUUCCCAGUAUGCUUAAUGUGAAUUUGUGUUUAAAAACUUUAAGUUUCGAUUGGAAUUGUAGUAAGGCUACUGUUAGCGUUAAUGGUUGCCAUGUGUUAGAGUUAAUGGUUAAUGGAUUGAUCUAUUAAUAGAUGUCUUAGUAGUUUUGGAUCCGUGAUGUGCUGUUGAAUUACAAUGAUCAUAUUGUAGUUAGCAUUGAACAUGUAAUUAGGACGGGAUUUUGAAGAAUUGACAUGUUGAAUAUAGCCGAUUUGUUGUUGAUCUGGACUCGAUUUCGAGUCUGAUCUUCUGAUUUUCAGCUUAGACAUACCUGGGCUCUCAAGCCUAGACUGGGCUUGGUUUUGUUCAUCACAUACUCAGAUCCACUUGUUCACAAACUUGGGGUUGGAUUUAUUGAUUUCAUGGGCAUUUCAGCUUAGUGAUGUCCAUAAGUUUCCAAAUGUUUAAAGGGCUAUAGAUGUAAUUGUAGUUUUAAAAUCAGGUUUGAAGGCGUGUGAGUCUGGUACAGAGUUCUUGUAUGUAUGAGGUCAUUCAAUUAUGGAUUUGAGUUUAACGUGUUGCAUGUUAAAUUUUGCAUUAAUUGACGAUUGCAAAAACAUGUUCUAUUGGAGAUAGUAACGGUGCUUAAAACAUUGGUUGAUCUGCAUAUACGUUUGCCUUUUGUGUUGUUCGGUGCCUAGUCUCAUGCCCACAACAUGUCACUAAUAUUUGGGCUCUCUUUUGGUCCUGAACAUCGACGCCAUUUCAAUUUGAAAGGGAGCCCAUUGCAUUCGGACAACCUCACGAUUGUUUGUCUCUGAAUAGAGACUUUGAUGAGUGUUUGUGCGUGCCAUCAGGCCUGGAGUCCAUUGGGUAAUAACCUAACUCUAGUUGAAGUAGUCACAAUUCCCUUAGGUCUUAUUUUAACCGGUAUAUCUUCAUCGAAGGCGAGCUUUAUAAAUAACGUGAAAUAGUUUAUGACGCUCCAUAAUUUAGUUUGAAUACCCUUUAGAAUAGAAUCAGGUGUGCCGCAUCAAAAAAAUGACGAUUGCGUGGCCCUCAUUUUAAUUAAUUUUGUUUAAUCCUUUGAAUUCGAGGUGCGCCAUUUAGCAAAAUUUCAUGGCCCUCGCAAAGUUGCCAAUAUGUAGUUGAUCUAGGGGUAUUAUUUUAAUAAUUUAUCUCCCUAAACUCGGGUGCGCAUUUAUGUGAUCCAAAUCCAAAUCUCAACGUUAGUUAAAAUAUGUCAAAGACUGCAGGUGCAUUUAUGUGUCGUGGUUCAAGACGUGUUUUAACAACAUUGCAAUAUUCCUAAAAUAAAUAAAAGUGGUUAUAGUUAAAAUUGAACCAUAGGUUAAAACAUGUGCUAAAAUCAGAUAAUAGGCCAUUUAUAAUAGUUGAGCGACCGUGCUGGAACCAUGAAACUCAGGAAUGCCUAACACCUUCUCCCGGGUUAACAGAAUUCCUUACCCGGAUUUCUGUGAUCGUGGACUGUAAAACAGAGUCAAUCUUUUCCUUGAUUUGGGAUUUAAACCGGUGACUUGGGACACCAUUAAUUAUCCUAAAUGGCGACUUUGAAUUUUUAAUAAAUAAAUAAUCCCAUUUCGAUUGUCUUUUAAUUGGAAAAGCUCUCUAUCUAUGCCUUUCACGGGGUAUAGUAAAAAAGGAGGUGUGACAGCUCUGGCGACUCUGCUGGGGAACAAACCUAGAAUCUAUGGUUUAGGGUUCAAAAUUCAAGCUUAAAAUAAUUAUUGUAUUUUGGCUUUGUUUAUUAUUUGAUUUUUGUUACAUGUUUGGGCCUAAUGUGCUAAGUGUUGCUUUUACCGCUUUGAUAUCCUGUGAACUGUAUAUAAACCACUACGAAACCCUUCUCUUCUCAUCUUCGGGGAUGUGCUCACUGGUCGAAACUCCAUAUUUUGUUAGUGCCAUACCUUGAAAUAAGAAAGAGGCUCGGACAAGUUACUAAGCCAGAUGGCCUUUUGGUUCCUGGUACGUAGCCCCCCCUCGACUUGUUGGUCCGCUCGGGUACAUAGUCUAGAGCAUAUACCCAGGUAUUGAACCUAGAAUAACUCAGCCUCAUGCUGAAUCCCUAGUAGGAACACUUAUCUGCAUCAUGUACGUUUGACUUAGGGGACUCAACACAGGGGUUGGGUCCGUCUAGGACAGAUGUACCCAGAAUCAAAGACCAUCCUGAUGCAUAUCUUGCGUGCUACUUGUUCAUUUAUUGCUUCGAAUUUGCAUGCCAUAGUCUUUUGAAUUAAAAGAGAGAAUUUAGCAAAGAAAAUAGCAAUGUAAGGGCUAAGGGAGGUAAUUACCUAUUUUGAAAACUAAUGUCCCAAAUAUAUACUGGAACUCUGCCGAAAUUUUGAAAAAAAAAGAAAUUUUAUUGUUUUCAAGAAGAAAAAGAAAAGUUGGUUUUGUUUUGUAAAAAUGUCCCGAACUUCGCUAGAUUGAUUCACACAGGGUGUGAGAUAGUAGGCAACCCCCAUUUGGUCCAACUCCCUUUUUGCAAAAAUAGCCCCAAAAGAAUCAAAAGAAAUUCUUUGUGAUAAAUAAAUGCCAUUCUUGUCAAAAUUAGCCGAAUGCCCCUAAAAGGACGCAAGAAGGCUAUUUUCACAAAAACAGCCGCCUUGGGUUUCUUUUUUAAAUUUUUGGCUGGUAGCAAGCACAACCUUAAAAUCUUCCCCCGGAAGUGCUGAAAGGCCAUAUUUGCAAAGCUAGGUUUUUACUUUUGAAAUGAAAAUUUGAAAAAUGUUAACUUUGUUUUUGAGUCAACUAAAUCAUGAUUUUUGCUUAAUCACCCUAAUAAAUGUGUAGAAUGAGCAUGAAUCAAAAUUUGUCGAUAACAGUCAUGAACAAAAUCCCUUUAAAGCUGCAUAUAUGGUGAAAUGAUCUGGGUGAAACAGGGCAAGACAAGGUCAAUUCAUACUCGGGAGAUCUCACCGGGUUGUUAAAGAUUUAUCCCAGGGGGGACAUCAUAAAGGCGUUGGUUACGUUCUAGGACCCGACCCACAACGUAUUUCAUUUAUCAGAUUUUGAACACACCCAACCUUGGGAGAAAUUGCCGGAUAUAUCGGGGGUCCAAAAGUUCCUCUGAGACACCAGUACUUGAUUGAACCAAGGGCCGUCGCCAUACACAAAUUCUUAGAUUCACUAAAGAUAAGCAGGGGAUCCACGACAAGAUCUGGCAGCUGAUUUUUGUACUCCACAGUUUAUAUAUAAGAGGUACGGUCAUAUAGGGGGUUUAACAACCCGAAAAAUAAAAUCUGUAGUAAAGGAAACUGCCUUAAAUGUGAAGAACACAUGUGUUUUGCAUUUAUGGUAUUCUUCUUGGGCCUUUUGGUGUUUACCCGGAAAGAUGGAAAUAUUGAUAUACGGAUGGUUGGAGUUGUCAAAACUUUGCUUACUCAGGCUAAAAGUACACUCGCACCCAUGAUCUUAUCUGAAAUCUUCCGUGCCCUCACAACUUGCAAAGCUGGAGGAGACUUCUUUAAAUGAUGCAACUUGCUGUUACAGAUGUGGAUGAUCGAACAUCGAUGUCAUCAUCCUCAGUUCAUGAGUUAUAGGUCAACAAAAAAGGGCUGCAUAGAGGAAUUUCAUACCAGAGUUGAUGGGUUUAGCUUGCCAGAGGGGUUCACAGAAUGGUAUCACAUCUCCGUGCCAUCAAUGCAAGUCAAAUAGAGUGGAUAUUUGGGUGGCUUCUUAUCGAUGAGAUCAUAUAUAUGCCAGCUACCGGGCGUCAUUUCUUUUUGAUAGGUCUCAGGAGCAUCCAACCUUGUGCCCCAUACCGGGUUUGAGACAGUUAGGGAGAUGUCAAAUGGUUCCCAGGGAUAAAGACAUUAGUCAUCACGUGGUCGACAUCAGUCCCGAUGGUUAGUUUCAUGAAGUAGCAGCCUGCCAAAUUUAGAGCGAAUGCCAAUACUUGACGGAAAAUAAUCGAGUACGUGACCUGUCCAAAUGAGAGGUUGCUCUAGGAUACCUUGCUUGGUAUAAAAGGAAAGUGGAGUUCGGAAGGCCGACCAAAAGACCCCGUCUUCAGGAAUUUACUGAGGAGUCACAAAAACAAUGGGAUUGGUUGGCCAAGGAAAAUGAAUACAGGGCCACAAUAGGAAAGCUGAAAAGACAAGUCAAAGACCUUCAAUUAGAGAAUGGUUUGCAAGACGCAGCGGACGAGGGUGAAAAGAGAAGACUAGCUAAUGAAAAUGAAGCCCUGCGAGCCCAGAUUUAGAAAAUGAGAAUAGCAGCUGAAAAUCCCACCAGAAGUGUAAAAGAUGAGAAGCUCAUAGACAACCUGAGGCAGAAAGUAAAAGAAUAUGGUUUUGACUUGAACAAAGCAGAGGGUGAGCUAGCCCGGAUCCAAAAGAAAUUUGCCGAAAAUGCGAAAGAACGAGAACACAUGAUUGAACAGUUGAAAUAAAAGUACGACAACGAGGUUGGGGGAUUGAAGAAGAGGUUCAUCACUGUUGAAAAAAAAUGGUUAAGCAGGCAAAGGACUUUAAGGCUGAAAGAGAGUACUGUUACAUAGCAAUAGCACAACUAGAAAGAGAUUUGCAUCAAUUUCAAGAACUGAAUCGGGUAGCCGAACAACAUUUGGAAGCUAGGGCUCAGCAGAUUGGGCGAUUGUUGCAUGAAAAAGGUGUCAUAAGAGAGAGAGUUUGAAGGAUCGCUGAUUAUACCAUGAUAAAGUGCAGUAGUUGUGAAGAUAUGACUAGAUCCAUGUUCUUUUCCACCGUAAUGAUAUUUGUCAGCCAGGUAAUGGAAGACCUCUACCACUUUCAAGGAUAUUUAGCACGCAAGCCCGUGGCGAGACCGAAUAAUGUCCCGGGGGCCCAAGAGCACUAGAGGCACUAAUGUAUUCAUGAUUGUCAUCAGAGUCUGUUAGUUUAUUUAUGAAGUCUAUAUUUUCUUUUAUUGAAGUCAGUUCGAGUCUGUUGUUUUCAGAGUCUGUUUUGAGUCGGAGUCUGUCAAUUUAUCUUCUUAGAUCUGUUAGUUUUAUAAUUUGGUGGUUGUAAUCAAAACUGUUUUACUUUAUGAAAAUUGAAAUUCCCAAAAUUAUUUUGUUUCUAUACUUAUCUUCCAAAACUACGCUCGGUCUGAUUCAUGCAGGGUCAUGAUACGUAGGCAAUCUCCAUAAGAUUUGACCAUAACCAAGAAGAAAAGGAAAAAAAAUAAGAAAAGAAAAAAAGGGAGGAAAGAGAAAUAGGAAAAAACAGGCUAAAUAAAAAGAGAUAAGAGAGAAAAAGAAAAAGAGAAGUUGUAUAUAUGGUGAAAGCUGGGAUAACUCAAGCAGCCGAUCCAGUGCAUAAUAGAAAUCUAUAACCGCUCAGGUGCAUUCAUCCCCGAAUAUGUGGUUUCCUACCUGUUAAAACCUGACCGCUAACAAGUUUGUUGUUAUCCAAUUACAUACAGGUGGUUAGUUUUGUGGCAUUCUGGCAACUCACCCCUACAACACCCGUUCCAAAAACAAGUUGACUAUAGCCAACCAAGAUCAUGAUACAAGUAUCAUCGAUACCUCAAGAGAGGUGGAAGAGUUGGAUUUUAAUGCAAUGAAAGAAGAGGUGUAUAAACUGAAACAACAAAUGGCUGAAAUGUAGCAAGCAUGGGUAAGGGGGAAACCACCACCAGCCUAUCCCGCCAACCCUUCCUUCAUCCCGCAGCCCAGUCGCAUGAUCAUCUUGCCACCAAUCUGUCCCCAAGCUUUCCCAUCUACCAACACUACAAGGGCACAACCUCCCAGACACCACCAGCUCCACCACCGAAACUUGUUCCCCACUCUACUCCACUAGUUGCUCCUAUCUUCGUGGCACCCCUACCCGCUACACUCUACAGAUCUUCCAGCGAACCUUUGUUCCAAACCCAUGAUGACUAGUAUUAUCCCCUAGAACCUACUUUUAUAGCUCCGUAACCCUAUUCAUACACCCAUCAUUUUGAUAUCACUGCAGAAGCUACGAAACCAUCCAAAAAUCCUGAACAAGAAGAGAUUUUCAGGAAAGUUAAAAGCUUAGAACAAUCAUUCAGAGACAUGUAGGGGCUGGGAGGUCAAGUAAGUGUGGAGUACAAAGAUCUAUGUCUGUUUCAAGAUGUGCAGUUACUAGCAGGGUUUAAGAUGCCCAAAUUUGCUAGAUGGGUUCAAGUAAGUGUGCAUUCAUCACGCCGUGGGGAACAUAUUGCUAUAGCGUUAUGCCUUUCGGUCUGAAAAAUGCUGGGGCAACUUACAUGAGGGCAAUGACAACCAUAUUCCAUGACAUGAUACACAAGGAGAUCAAGGUCUAUGUGGAUGAUGUAAUUAUAAAGUCUAGGAAGUAGUUUGACCAUGUCAAAGAUCUUAGAAAAUUCUUCCAAAGGCUCUGCAGGUACAAUCUCAAGCUUAAUAUUGCGAAAUGCGCAAUCGGUGUGCCUUUUGGAAAGCUACUGGGAUUCAUAGUCAACCGUCGAGGAAUUAAGCUGGACUCGUCAAAGAUUAAAGCCAUCUGGUACAUGUUCAUACCAGGUAUUUGGUCCAAACAAGGAAAAUGAAAACGAGAGAGUUUUAUUGGUGAAAACCCUCACGGGAACCGUAAGGCGACGGGUGUUGAGAGGAAUAAAAAUGAGAGAGUCAUAUCGGUGAAAACCCUCAUGGGCACCGUAAGGCAACGAGAGCUGAGAGAAAUGCAAAAAUGAGAGAAUCUUUUUAUUGAAAACUCUCACGAGAAUCUUAAGGCGAAAUAGAGUUGAGAGAUUAAAAAAUGAAGAGGUCUAUUGGUGAAAACCUUUCAGGGCACCGUAGGAUGAAGAAGGUCAAGGUUUGGUUGAAGAAAUCAGGUUAUGGAAUUUCGGGGCAAUAAAGCAUGGCGACUAAGAGUUGAUUGAUUGGACAAACUGGCCCGACUAACCCGACAUGCGUGUCAUGAUCAUUGGUACUAGUUGUUCCACUAAGAUAAGUCUCUUUUCUUGUUUCUUUUAGCAGUCAUCCAGAUUUGGAUUCUUGUUAUCUUUAACUCUCAAAGCCAUUGCAUUUCAUUUUCUUUUGGAUCUCUAUUUUUCUAAGAUGUUUCAAGGUCAAUUUUUUCUGAGCAGGUAAGUAAGGAUUUCAAAGUUUACUAUUAGCUCCUAAAAGUGCAAAGCACAGUGUGGCCAGAACAUACCAAAGACAUCAUGACAUAAAAUGGGAUAUAAAGAAUCACCAAAAGCUUCAUUGGUGGAAUGAUUUGGUAAUCUCAGGAGAAAUUCAAAGAUUCUGAUAAAGGGGUCAGGAAUAUAAUUUAACGGUUUGGGUACAUAACACUCGGUUCAUCCAAGGUCGCGGGUUUUGAAAAGUCAAUCAGAAAGUCAAGCGGUUCGGGGACAAUUGGGGGAAGCUAGUCAAAAUAAAGCGUGACAGUGGGAAGGCCACUUUCAGCAAGAGUGCCACAACCUAACCACCACAUUUCAAACUGACAAGAUUUUUCUUUGAUUGAAAUAGGGGUAGAAAGUUCUGUUGUCUCAAGGAAACCCUCUGUAUGGGAAAAGCAAGCAACAGACAGGUGUGACCGUAAUUUUCAGGAUCUUCCUGGAAAAUGGGACUUAGUUUAAAAUUCAAAACAAUCAUGAGUACAAGAUCUAGAAUAAAUGAACCCCAAAGAAGUAUAAGUCGGUUUCAAAAUUUUUGUUCUGGAGAUAUAAUUCAGUUAAGAGUUGCCAGGACCCUCCUAGAGAAUGGGACCUAGUUUUUAAAAAACGAGUAGCAAAAUAUAGCAUAAAUGUACCCCAAAAGGAAUACAAGUUGGUCUCAAAGUUCGCAUAUUUUAAGAUAAGACUCAGCUGGGAGUUUUCAGGACCCUCUUGAAUAACAGGACUUAGCUUUAGGAUUUCAUUAGAUAACAAUAUUUAGCGUAAGUUUUGCUGUAGGGUAGUAUAAUUCAGCCAUAAGGAAUUGUCACUCUUAGGAUGAAAUUUGACUUUGGAUUGUCAGGACCCUCCUGGAUAAUGGGAUGUAGCUUUAAGGGCUGCUUAGAUAAUAAGAUGUAGUGAAAGUUGUGCUUUUAGAAGAUAUACCUUAGUGCUAAAAUUGUCACUAGGACUCCCUUGGAUAAUGGGACAACCUUAAUAUUUUUUUUCUAAGAUAACAAGAUAUAGUAGACUUAAAAUUGUCAUUUAAUUAAGAGUUAUCAGGACCCUCCUGGAUAAUGGGCGACAGUUAAGAACUUUGUAGACAACCAACCUUAGUGGAAGUCAUACCUUUAGAAAAUAUAAUUUUCUUUUAAAACUGUCAUUUAACUAAGAGUAGUCAGGACCCUCCUGGAUAAUGAGAUCUUUCUUUCAAAUUCUUAGUAAUAUUUGGUAACAUGAUUCAGUUUAACACUCAUGUAUGUGCCCAGCUACCAUACUGGGUAGAAAAUUUUCUUUGUUUUGCCUGUCUUGUUGAAAUCAGGCGCCCACCUGAAGAACAAGAGAAUAUAAUCAAGGUUUUAGCAAUCAGGCUCCCACUUGAAGAACAAGGGAAUACAAUUCAAGGUUUUAGUAAUCAGGCGCUCACCUGGAGAACAAGGGAAUAUAAUUCAAGUUUUAGCAAUCAGGAGCUCACCUGGAGAACAAGGAAAUACAGUUCAAGUUUGAGCAAUCGGGCGCCCACCUGGAGAACAAGGGAAUAUAAUUCAUGUUCUGGUAAUCAGGAACCCACCUGGAAAUCAAGGGAACACAAUUCAAGUUUCAGUAAUCAGGAACCUACCUGGAAAACAAGGGAACACAAUUCAAGUUUCAGCAAUCUGGCGCCCACUGGAGAACAAGGGAACACAAUUCAAGGUAUUAGCAAUCAGGAGCCCACCUGGAGAACAAGGGAAUACAAUUAAAAUUUUGGUAAUCAGGAGCCCAUCUAGAGAACAAGGGAAUACAAUUCAAGUUUUGGUAAUUAGGAGCCCACCUGGAGAAUAAGGGAAUACAGUUUAAGUUUUGGAAAUUAGGAGCCCCAUGGAGAACAAGGGAAUAAACUUCAAGUUUCAGCAACCAGGCGCUCACAUGGAGAACAAGCGAAUAUAAUUCAAAGUUUUGGCAAUCAGGAGCCCACCUGAAGAACAAGGGAUCACAAUUCAAACUUUUGGCAAUCAGGAGCCGACCUGGAGAACAAGGAAAUACCAUUCAAAUUUUUAGAAAUCAGGAGUCCACCUGAAGAACAAGGGAAUACCAUUCAAAGUUUUGGUAAUCAGGAGCCUGCCUGGAGAACAAUGAAAUGUAAUUCAAGUAUUGGUAAUAAGGAGACCGCCUGGAGUACAAGGGAAUACAAUUCAAAGUUUUGGCAAUCAGAAGCCCACCUGGAGAACAGGGGAAUACAAUUCAAAGUUUUGGUAAUCAGGAGCCCACCUGAAGAACAAGGAAAUACAAUUCAAGUUUUGGUAAUCAGGAGCCCACCUAGAGAACAAGGGAAUACAAUUCAAAGUUUUGGUAAUCAUGAGCCCAGCUGAAGAACAAGGGAAUACAAUUCAAGUUUUGGUGAUCAGGCAGCCACUUGGAGAAUAAGGGGAUACAAUUCAAGUUUUGGAAAUCAGGCGACCACCUAAAUAACAAGGGAAUAUCAUUCAAACUUUCGGCAAUCAGGAUCCCACCUGGAGAAUGAGGUAAUACAAUUCAAGUCUUGGUAAUCAGGCACCCACUUGGAGAAUAAGGGAACACAAUUCGAGUUCAACAAUUAGGCAUCCACCUGAAAAAAGGAAAAACAUCUCAAAUUACAAUUCAAGUCGGCAACAAAAGAAUUUCACAGGAAAAAUACAAGUCAACGAGGCAACAAGGAUCAAGAGCAAGUUUGAAGAUAUAUAUAGGAUCUUUUGUAACUCAUAGAUCAUAAUCUAGUCUAGCUUCUAUUUAUUUUGACAUGGUGUAAUAAGGGUGUUCAGUAAGCAGUAGCAGUAGCAACAGCAACAGUGAAAUCACAGCUCCAUGAUAGUCCCAGCUACCAGACAUUCCUAAAAUACACUGACCUGAUUAUUUUUUAGCCAAUGAUGUGUAGGAAACAUCAGAAGCAAGGUGCGGUCAAAUCUUUAAAAAAAUGCUUCCCAUGGAGUAUUCAAACGGGAAAAAAUUGCUCGUAUCCGCUCACUUUAUCUUUGCACGAAAACUCUUCGUGUUUCCAAGCAAAGAGGGGCAGCUGUGAGCAUGUAAUUUUUGUGCUAUAUAUGAAUUACUACCAUAAAUUCAAAACAAAAAAUUUCUUUCAUUGUUUGCAGUUUUAUGGAUUUUGUGGCAAUUUUUGUUAAUUGUUUGCAUUCAUCUAUGAAUUUUUAUUUUUAUUUAAUUAAUGAAAAAUAUAAAUAUACGUGCGUUUACAUUUAGGGUUCUUUUUAUAUUUUUAGGUUAAUUAGUUAAUCAAUUGUGGCAAAUAUGAAAGAAAAAAACAAAAAUAAUUUAUUUUGCAUUUUUUACUUUUUAAUUUGCAAAUUUUAUUGUUUUCUUUUGGUUUAGGACUUAGUCAAUUUUGGAAAAUGCAAUUAGUUAUCAAUUUUGUCUUAGAGAUAAAUCAAGUUUUUAUUUUUUGUAUUUAACAAAAUCUGAAAAUGAAGAAAAGGGAAAAUAGGAAAUUAAAAAGGAAACAAAAGGGGGUUUUAUAUCAGAUCUUGGGGCUCAAAUAAUCACUCCAUGUCCAAGCCCAAAUUAAGCCUUGGAUCUGCCCAAGUCCAGCCCCAUCACCUGGUCCAUUUCCACCCUAGCAACAUUAAACGACCCCGUUUAGCAACAGGUGAAUCCUACCCCUUGAUUUCAGUUCUAUCCAAUGUCCCAAGAACCCCCACUCUCUUUGCAUAAUCAUGUCCAAACUCAGAGAUCCCUUCAGUUCCUCCAAACACCCCUGUACCUUGUCGCCUCCCUAUCUAAGCUUUAAUCCGCCAUGGUUAUGACAUUCCAGCUCCAAAUCACUCCAAAUCCUCACCAUAUACUCCUCAUACCCCCAUAGCAUUAAAAUUCUAUUAGUUCCUACAAAAUCCUCAUCUAUUGUCGUUGAUUUCAGAUCUGAGUGAGAAGCAAAAAGCCUAGUUUUCCCAAUUCGAUUCAGUCUCUUGAUGUUCAUCCUCGAUUGGAGUCGGGACUUCCGUUAAACAAUUGUUCUGGCCAAGAACAAUUAAUUAAUGUUAGUUUUGGAUUUGUUCAAGAUUCGUCAGUUUCCAACCAAGGCGCCUUUAAUUGUUCGAAGCUUGUUGCUUGCCUCGCUCGAUGAGUUAUUUCAAUUCAUCAAUUCAGGUUCGGUCAAAUUGGUACUCCCCUCUCUUUUUUUUUUAAUUUUGGUUUUAUUUGUCGCACCUUUAUUGCUUUGUUCCUGUUCCUUUUCUCUUUGUUUAUGUGGAAUAGUUCCAGUUGUUUAGGGUCAUUGAGUUGUUUGGCUAAUGACAUAGAUUAAAGGUUAACUGUUAAAAGAAUUUAUGUUCUUAUUAUCCUUAUGUUGGUUGCUUUUUGAUAAAUUGAAUUUAGUUUGAUGUUUUGGGUUGUUUUGGUUUAGUUUAGGUCUUGUGAUUAUAGGCUAGGCAGUACAAACCCAAGUUUAUUGCUCAGGAUAAACAUGAGGGUCCGAGGAGGUUAAAAACAUAGGCAAUUGGGGAAUUGACAUUGUUCUACUGGUAUUGACUCCUCGUUCUUCUUACUUUCUUUGUUGUUUCCAGGUACAUAUCCUUGAUUUAAGCAUCUAAAAAGAUCAUGGGAUGAUUUAUUGAAAAGAAAUGAAGAUUAUACUUUCCUGUUUAGCUUAUUUCUUAGCUUGUGGUAUCAAUUAUUUUUCCCAGUAUGCUUAAUGUGAAUUUGUGUUUAAAAUCUUUAAGUUUCGAUUGAAAUUGUAGUAAGGCUACUGUUACGGUUAAUGGUUGCCAUGUGUUAGAUACCACAAGCUAUUGUAUUGUUUCGAUUGGAUACGUAAUGUGCUAUUGAAUUACAAUGAUCAUAUUGUAGUUAGCAUUGAUCAUGUAAUUAGGACGGGAUUAAGAAGAAUUGACAUGUUGAAUAUAGCAGAUUUUUUGUUGAUCUGGACUCGAUUUCGAGUCUGAUCUUCUGAUUUUGAGCUUAGACAUGCCUGGGCUCUCAAGCCUAGACUGGGCUUGGUUUUGUGCAUCACAUACUCAGAUCCACUUGUGCACAAACCUGGGGUUGGAUUUAUUGAUUUCAUGGGCAUUUCAGCUUAGUGAUGUCCAUAAGUUUCCAAAUGUUUAAAGGGUUGUAGAUAUAAUUGUGGUUUUAAAAUCAGGUUUGAAGGCUUGUGAGUCUGGUAUAGAGUUCUUGUAUGUAUGAGGUCAUUCAAUUAUGGAUAUGAGUUUAAUGUGUUGCAUGUUAAAUUUUGCAUUAAUUGACGAUUGCACAAACACGUUUUAUUGGAGAUAGUAACAGUGCUUAAAACAUUGGUCGACCUGCAUAUGCAUUUGCCUUUUCUAUGGUUCGAUGCUUAGUCUCAUGCCCACAACAUGUCACUAAUAUUUGGGCUCUUUUUUGGGCCUGAACAUCGAGGACAUUUCAAUUUGAAAGGAAGCCUAUUGCAUUCGGACAACCUUACAGUUCUUUGUCUCUGAAUAGAGGCUUUGAUGAGCGUUUGGGCUACAAUAAAGCCUGGAGUCCAUGGGGUAAUAACAUAGCUGUAGUUGAAGUAGUCACAAUUCCCUUAGGCCUUAUUUUAACCUGUAUAUCUUCAUCAGAGGCGAGCUUUAUUAAAUAACUUAAAAUAGUUUAUGGCCCUCCAUAACUUAGUUUUGAAUAUCCUUUAGAAUAGAAUCGAGGGGUGUCACGCCAAACAAAAUAACGAUUUCAUGGCCCUCGUUUUAAUUAAUUUUUUUAAUUCUUAGAAUUCAAGGCGCACCAUUUAGCGAAUUUUCAUGGCCCUCGCAAAGUUUCCAAAAAAGAACUGUUACAAAUAAUGAAGAAACUAGUAGAUUCAGA